UACGAAGGGGGCUAGCGUUGUUCGGAAUUACUGGGCGUAAAGGGCGCGUAGGCGGUACUUCAAGUCAGGCGUGAAAGCCCCGGGCUCAACCUGGGAACCGCGCUUGAGACUGGAGAACUAGAGUUCGGGAGAGGAUGGUGGAAUUCCCAGUGUAGAGGUGAAAUUCGUAGAUAUUCGCAAGAACACCAGUGGCGAAGGCGGCUCACUGGCCCGGUACUAACGCUGAGGUGCGAAAGCGUGGGGAGCAAACAGG
Molecule: ribosomal RNA, 253 nt
Filed under: uncultured bacterium
Lineage: Bacteria
Description: partial 16S ribosomal RNA
Rfam family: Bacterial small subunit ribosomal RNA
Source: RNAcentral